AUGAACGCUAGCGACAGGCCUAACACAUGCAAGUCGAGGGGCAUCAUGGUGUAGCAAUACACUGAUGGCGACCGGCGCACGGGUGAGUAACGCGUAUGUAACCUACCCAUGAGUGGGGGAUAGCCCAGCGAAAGCUGGAUUAAUACCGCAUGAUACUGAUUGACGACAUCUGAUAUCAGUUAAAGAUUUAUUGCUCAUGGAUGGACAUGCGUCCGAUUAGCUAGUUGGCGGGGCAACGGCCCACCAAGGCGACGAUCGGUAGGGGUUCUGAGAGGAAGGUCCCCCACAUUGGUACUGAGACACGGACCAAACUCCUACGGGAGGCAGCAGUGAGGAAUAUUGGUCAAUGGGCGGAAGCCUGAACCAGCCAAGUCGCGUGAAGGAUGAAGGUAUUAUGUAUUGUAAACUUCUUUAGCAGUGGAGUAAUAAGGGGCUCGUGAGUCCUGAUGCAAGUACACUGAGAAUAAGGAUCGGCUAACUCCGUGCCAGCCGCCGC
This 496-nucleotide ribosomal RNA is filed under the name uncultured bacterium. Its description in RNAcentral is "bacterial SSU rRNA". It matches the Rfam family "Bacterial small subunit ribosomal RNA", at positions 29 to 518 of the family's 1533-position model. The record is from RNAcentral.